Molecule: transfer RNA, 72 nt
Filed under: Bos taurus (domestic cattle)
Lineage: Eukaryota; Metazoa; Chordata; Mammalia; Artiodactyla; Bovidae
Also listed under: 2 other names
Rfam family: tRNA
About the family: Transfer RNA (tRNA) molecules are approximately 80 nucleotides in length. Their secondary structure includes four short double-helical elements and three loops (D, anti-codon, and T loops).
Source: Rfam by way of RNAcentral
UCCCUUGUGGUCUAGUGGUUAAGAACCUGCCUUCCAAUGCAGGGGACCUAGGUUCAAUCCCUGGUCAGGGAU